AACGAACGCUGGCGGCAUGCCUAACACAUGCAAGUCGAACGAGACCUUCGGGUCUAGUGGCGCACGGGUGCGUAACGCGUGGGAACCUGCCCUUAGGUUCGGAAUAACUCCCCGAAAGGGGUGCUAAUACCGGAUAAUGUCUUCGGACCAAAGAUUUAUCGCCUUUGGAUGGGCCCGCGUUGGAUUAGCUAGUUGGUAGGGUAAAAGCCUACCAAGGCGACGAUCCAUAGCUGGUCUGAGAGGAUGAUCAGCCACACUGGGACAGAGACACGGCCCAGACUGCUACGAGAGGCAGCAGUGGGGACUAUUGGACAAUGGGCGAAAGCCUGAUCCAGCAAGGCCGCGAUAGUGAUGAAGGCCUUAGGGUUGUAAAGCUCUUUUACCCGGGAUGAUAAUGACAGUACCGGGAGAAUAAGCACCGGCUAACUCCGU
This 432-nucleotide ribosomal RNA is filed under the name uncultured bacterium. RNAcentral's name for it is "partial 16S ribosomal RNA". It matches the Rfam family "Bacterial small subunit ribosomal RNA", at positions 29 to 506 of the family's 1533-position model. The record is from RNAcentral.